UACGUAGGGGGCAAGCGUUGUCCGGAUUUAUUGGGCGUAAAGAGCGUGUAGGCGGCCAUACAGGUCAGCUGUGAAAACUCGAGGCUCAACCUCGAGACGUCGGUUGAAACCGUAUGGCUAGAGUCCGGAAGAGGAGAGUGGAAUUCCCGGUGUAGCGGUGAAAUGCGCAGAUAUCGGGAAGAACACCCGUGGCGAAGGCGGCUCUCUGGGACGGUACUGACGCUGAGAC
This 229-nucleotide ribosomal RNA is filed under the name uncultured bacterium. RNAcentral describes it as "partial 16S ribosomal RNA". It matches the Rfam family "Bacterial small subunit ribosomal RNA", at positions 524 to 752 of the family's 1533-position model. The record is from RNAcentral.